RNAcentral lists this unclassified non-coding RNA (26 nucleotides) under Mus musculus (house mouse). RNAcentral's name for it is "oocyte_clustered_small_RNA9851". Lineage: Eukaryota; Metazoa; Chordata; Mammalia; Rodentia; Muridae. The record is from RNAcentral.
UCUUAGCCCUGCAGCUUGAGGAAGGC